CGGGGGGGGCAGGAGGUCCCUCAGACUGGAUUGCAAGAGGGCGCAGACCAGACUGAGGGACCCCAGCAGUGCAGG
Molecule: non-coding RNA, 75 nt
Organism: Myotis brandtii (Brandt's bat)
Lineage: Eukaryota; Metazoa; Chordata; Mammalia; Chiroptera; Vespertilionidae
Source: Rfam